UAACGAGUCAGAGCAGGCAGGAAAACGAUGGACUGAGUUUAACAGAAGGGUUUUCAGGUCUUGGCAGCCAUGCUGAUGAGAUGGAUCUGGUUUAUUGUUCCCAUGUCGUUUUGCAUUGAACAAGACCCGUUCUCAGUGGUGGUUCCUCGGGCUCCGGUCUACGGUCUGCUCGGGAGCUCCGUGACUCUACCCUGCUCUAUC
Long non-coding RNA from Astyanax mexicanus (Mexican tetra), 201 nucleotides. RefSeq lists it as uncharacterized. The record is from RefSeq and is a predicted model, not a curated record. The transcript has 3 exons. Lineage: Eukaryota; Metazoa; Chordata; Actinopteri; Characiformes; Acestrorhamphidae.